ACGUAGGGCGCAAGCGUUGUCCGGAAUUAUUGGGCGUAAAGAGCUCGUAGGCGGUUUGUCGCGUCUGGUGUGAAAACUCAAGGCUCAACCUUGAGCUUGCAUCGGGUACGGGCAGACUAGAGUGUGGUAGGGGUGACUGGAAUUCCUGGUGUAGCGGUGGAAUGCGCAGAUAUCAGGAGGAACACCGAUGGCGAAGGCAGGUCACUGGGCCACUACUGACGCUGAGGAGCGAAAGCAUGGGGAGCGAACAGGAUUAGAUACCCUGGUAGUCCAUGCCGUAAACGUUGGGCACUAGGUGUGGGGCUCAUUCCACGAGUUCCGCGCCGCAGCUAACGCAUUAAGUGCCCCGCCUGGGGAGUACGGCCGCAAGGCUA
This 374-nucleotide ribosomal RNA is filed under the name uncultured bacterium. RNAcentral's name for it is "bacterial SSU rRNA". It matches the Rfam family "Bacterial small subunit ribosomal RNA", at positions 525 to 896 of the family's 1533-position model. The record is from RNAcentral.